CUGGGGACCCAAGGCCAAGCAAGAGCUUUCAUGACUGGGAGGAACAUUCCAGAGAGAAAAUUAUAUAAGUGGUCAUUUUGUCUAAAAGGAAAUGUGUUUCUCCUAUGGAGUAGAAGAAUUCCUGCAUAAAUACAGAUAAGUGUUAAGGUUGGUAUCUACCCGAAACAGAGUUUGAGUGAAUGUUUUUUAAAGAUUUUCAUACAAUUUUACACCGUUAAUCUUCUAUAGCUCUUGAUGAUGAGGAGCAGCCAGCAUUUUUCUCAUCAGGAUCUGUGCAGAUCUCUGGCUGAUUGCUUUAUGCCUGGUUCUGGAGCCUUUGCCAGUGCAUUCUAAGAAGAACAAGGGAAGACCAGCAAGCCACAGCAGAAGAAACUCAGAAGGAAAUGUAACCUUCCACAGGCCCACACAUGUGUUAUCAGCCAUACCUUAGGACAGAAGGAAUGAGUUUGCAGAAAGGAUGGCACUGGGAUAGAUGCUGGAAA
Molecule: long non-coding RNA, 482 nt
Filed under: Homo sapiens (human)
Lineage: Eukaryota; Metazoa; Chordata; Mammalia; Primates; Hominidae
Description: HSALNT0112969
Source: RNAcentral